Molecule: ribosomal RNA, 460 nt
Filed under: uncultured Desulfotomaculum sp.
Lineage: Bacteria; Bacillati; Bacillota; Clostridia; Eubacteriales; Desulfotomaculaceae
Description: bacterial SSU rRNA
Rfam family: Bacterial small subunit ribosomal RNA
Source: RNAcentral
CAAGCGGUGAGCAUGUGGUUUAAUUCGACGCAACGCGAAGAACCUUACCAGGGCUUGACAUCCCCUGACCGUCUAUGAAAGUAGGCUUUCUACCUUCGGGUAGACAGGGAGACAGGUGGUGCAUGGUUGUCGUCAGCUCGUGUCGUGAGAUGUUGGGUUAAGUCCCGCAACGAGCGCAACCCUUACGGUUAGUUGCCAGCGGGUUAUGCCGGGCACUCUAGCUGAACUGCCGUUGACAAAACGGAGGAAGGUGGGGAUGACGUCAAAUCCUCAUGGCCUUUAUGACCAGGGCUACACACGUACUACAAUGGCCGGUACAAAGGGCAGCGACACAGCGAUGUGAAGCGAAUCCCGAAAAGCCGGUCUCAGUCCGGAUUGGAGUCUGCAACUCGACUCCAUGAAGUUGGAAUCGCUAGUAAUCGCGGAUCAGCACGCCGCGGUGAAUACGUUCCCGGGCCUU